This 526-nucleotide ribosomal RNA is filed under the name uncultured bacterium. RNAcentral's name for it is "bacterial SSU rRNA". It matches the Rfam family "Bacterial small subunit ribosomal RNA", at positions 28 to 526 of the family's 1533-position model. The record is from RNAcentral.
GACGAACGCUGGCGGCGUGCCUAAUACAUGCAAGUCGAACGCUUUUUCUUUCACCGGAGCUUGCUCCACCGAAAGAAAAAGAGUGGCGAACGGGUGAGUAACACGUGGGUAACCUGCCCAUCAGAAGGGGAUAACACUUGGAAACAGGUGCUAAUACCGUAUAACACUAUUUUCCGCAUGGAAGAAAGUUGAAAGGCGCUUUUGCGUCACUGAUGGAUGGACCCGCGGUGCAUUAGCUAGUUGGUGAGGUAACGGCUCACCAAGGCAACGAUGCAUAGCCGACCUGAGAGGGUGAUCGGCCACACUGGGACUGAGACACGGCCCAGACUCCUACGGGAGGCAGCAGUAGGGAAUCUUCGGCAAUGGACGAAAGUCUGACCGAGCAACGCCGCGUGAGUGAAGAAGGUUUUCGGAUCGUAAAACUCUGUUGUUAGAGAAGAACAAGGAUGAGAGUAAAAUGUUCAUCCCUUGACGGUAUCUAACCAGAAAGCCACGGCUAACUACGUGCCAGCCGCCGCCGUAACAC